Molecule: long non-coding RNA, 22162 nt
Filed under: Ananas comosus (pineapple)
Lineage: Eukaryota; Viridiplantae; Streptophyta; Magnoliopsida; Poales; Bromeliaceae
Description: long non-coding RNA (ACOM_LNC044706)
Source: RNAcentral
GACUAGAUAUGGAUUUAUCAAACUAAUGUCAUAAAGGGGCAUUAAGCUUGGCAUAUAUGUGGACUUAAUAAAUGUAACAUACCAGAUUUUAAAUAUAAAAGAAAAAAAAUAAAUAAAAAUAAUAUGAGAUACUAUUUUAUUGGAUUUAGAGAAGUGAAAUAUCGGUUGGAAACGACCUGUGCUGAAAUCGGAGCGAAAACAGAAGAUUUAGAAUUUUCUGUGAGAAACAGGGCAGAUAAAUUAGCAGAAAAUGCACAGUCUCAGAAAAUUAUGAAAAUUGGCGAGGAUGUCAAAAAUAUUUUAAUGAGGCUAAAUUUAAAGUUUCAUAUUUUUCUGACACCUGUAGAGUGAGAAAUAAAAUCCGAAAGCCAUCUGAUAAAGAUUGCAGUUCGGUACAGUUUUCAGGGACCAAACGGGGUCGAAACUGAAAUAUUAAAAUUUCUUUGGACUUAUUAAGUAAAACCGAACAUGCCUGUCAAAUUUGAGUUCAAACGGACGUUCAGAAGGGCUCCGGCGAAAAAUAAACUGCCCGAAGUGAAUAGUGCGUAGUUGAGGGGCAAAAUGGUAAAAAGGGUUUAAAACCCCUUUUCUUCUUCUCCUCCCAACCGUGGCUGCCCCAACCCGUGCACACCCACGACACACACCCACACACGCAUGGAAGGAGAAGAGAAAACCCUCUCUUUCUCUCUCUAAAUCUCUCCCAAAAGAGGUGAAAUUGGUGGAGAAGAAGCUUGGAGGGAUCAUCAACACCAUCAUCUUCUUCUUCUUCAUUUUGGAGCAAGCUCUUGGAGGUAAGCUCCUUACCCAUUAAUGGUAGAUCCUUAAUGGUUGGGUUAAAUAGCUUAUAAAUGGAUUUAGAGGAAUCCUAGCAUGCUAUCUAGAUGAAUGAUGCUUCAAUCAUGAAUCAAUUUGGUGAUUUCUUGCAUAGUUGUAACCUAGGGCUCCAAAAUGCUAAUUUUCAAAAUAUGAGGGUUUGAUCUAAUUUGACCCUCCGUAAACAUAAUUGCUAGGUAACGAAACGCGUUGGCGAAGACGGUUCGGCAAUCCGACGAGCCGUUACAAAGUUAUUAAAGAAAUAGACGUUUAGGCUUCGGGUCCGCCGGGAGGGCCGAGGCGACGUCGUAAAAUCAUGAAAAUGGAUUUGAGGCAUCGUGGCACAUAACCGAAGACCUAUAAUUUUCGGGGCUGCAAAGCGGAGCACGGUUGAGGCGCAGUUGCAGUAUCGGGCCGUAACGGAUACGGGUGCCGCGGGAGGCCGAUUGCAAGUGUCGACAAGCAAUCGGAACGCGAAUUAAAGUGGGUUGUGUUUACCGAAGCGACUAGGUCACCUUUAUGUCUAAGAAACUAAGAAUCCAUGUUGAUGCAUAUAAAUGUAAAUGAAGCAUGUAAAUGAUGCAUGUAACUAAAUAAUGCAUGUUGAUAGUAUGAUGUAAAUGCUAAAUAGAAUGCAUUAAGAGCAAGUUACAUAAUGCUAAAUAAUGUAAUGUAGAAAUGCUAGAAUGCAUUAUGAGCAAGUUACAUAAUGCUAAAUAAUGUAAUGUAGAAAUGCUAGAAUGCAUAAUGAGCAAGUUAUAUGAUGCAUGUUUAUAAUAUGAUGUAAAUGCUAAGUAGAUGCAUAUAAAUGAUAUAUGAGAUUAUAAACGCAUGAUUAGCAUUAUGAGAUCAUAGAUGCAUACUUAGCAUUGUGAGAUUAUAUAUGCAUAUGAACUUGGUUGAUAACUCUAGCUUGAUUAGAGAGAUAAUAUUGGAAAAUGAGAAUUGAUAACUCUAGAAUGAGUAGAAUGCUUAAUUGGACAAUUAGUAUGUGAAUUAGAUCGAGUGGCAUCUAACUUAGUGUUAAGGAACAUAGGUCGUGAGUAGACCUAGAAUCAAAUAGAUCGAGUGGCAUCUAACCUAGUGUUAAUAAACAUAGGUCGUGAAAUGAAAAGUACUUAACCUAGAGUCAAGUGAACCUAGGUUGGAAAGAAUAAUGAUCCUAGUGUAAUAACCUAGGUUAAGAAUGUGAAAGCAAUAAACCUAAUGGGUGAACUUAGGUUGAGUAAAGGCUUAAACCUAGAGAGGUCAGUUCCAUAGGGUUAAGACCAACCCCUAUGUGAUGUGAAAUGGAUUCCGGAAUCCCAAGGCUAAAAGGAUACACCCAAAGUGGUGUCGGGUGUGUGCGACGAUUUCGCCGCCCAAGGGCUAAUUAACCAUUGUCGUGGCGUGUGCGACGAUUUCGCCGCCGGAUGGUUAGCCAGUUUGUGGAUCCUACCGCCUGUUGACUGAAUCACUAUCGUGGCGUUUGUGCGACGAUUUCGCCGCCGGGUGGCUAAGUCAUGGACCUAGGCCGUUGUUGGGUGAGGUGCGAUUCGUUCGCCGCCAGACGGCUAGGACAGGAGUACGGUGAGCUGUUGCCAGCUGAGGUGCAUGUGAGAGUUCCUUCACCUCGAGCUAGACAGUGCGCGGACUAUCCGCGAUUGAUUGACUCAAGACCGAGUCGUGUGGCAUAGAGAACUAAGGUAAGAGAAACCUUAGGAAAGAAUGGCCAGUAGAAAAGUGCGACAAAGUGUAAAGAAUAAAGAAUAAGUAAAGAAUAAAGAUCGGCUAAGGAAUAAGAAUAGCUGAUAAGUAAAGAAAAGUUACAAGUAAAGAAUAGCUAAGAGCUAAAAGUAAACAUUAAAUGACAAUAGUAAAGAAUGAUUAAGAAUAUAAGUAACGUUAAAGUAACCUACUUGCAUGAUUACAGGUAUUGCAUAUUGCAUUUCGUGAGGCAUGACAUGUAUUUCAAUUGAAUAUAUAUAUCUGUUGUAUAUUGUUGAACUAACAUGUUGCAGUGCCUCGUUAGACCUGUUGGUUGAGCUGGUUCUCUUGGGUGGCUAAACCCACUGAGGACUAUGGACAAUAGUCUCACCCCCGUGUUGCUGUUUUGGGGGUACAGGUACACACGUGUGCGGCGCGGCAGCGCAAGGCGAGGACGUAGUUCUGCAGAUAGCGCCCUACCCCAGAGACCAGAGCUAGCAGUACCCCGUCUAUAUAGCUUAGGGGUAAAGGAAAUGAAAAGAAUACAAUGUAUCAAACUUGUAGUAAGUAAAUGUUGUAAUAACUUAGAUUGCAUUUGGAUGAAAAGGAAUGAAAACUGUGAUGUAAAAACCAUGAAAGUGAAUGAAUGUAAUAACUUAGGAUGUGUUUAUGUUGUAUGAUACCUUCCACUUGCAAUCUUGAUUGAUAUCUGUUCCUGGUUGGAACCUUCGUGAAUUGUAUUGAUUGCGAUGCCUUGAAUGUACAGGGGAGACUUUGUCCGUAGUACAGGGGAAACCCUGUCCAUUCGGCGAUGUCGGCGGCGCUGGGACCUCGGCCAAAUAGGCGGGUGGUCGCGGGCUGUGACAAUAAACCUAUUGUCAUGAAGAGGCAUUAGAUUUGGAUGAUAUGUGAAUUGCAUGUGCAUAUUAAUAUUAUGAGAACUAUGCUAAGUUUAUAGUUGCAUACGGACGCAUUGAAACCUUAUGCUAGUGAAUAGAUGCGUGUUAAUAAUUAUAUGCAUUGGGGGUGCAUGCUAGGUACAUAUUAGCAAUUUGAGGUCAUGCUAGAGAGCAUGCAUAUUAACCUAUUAUUGAUAUAUUAAACUAAUGUCAUAAAGCGGCAUUGAGCUUGGGUUAUAUUUGAACCUUGUAUUGGUGCCAUAAAGGGGCAUAGAAUGUGAAAUGUGCUUGGAUUAUAAAAAAUUGUUUAAAUGUCAUAAAGAGGCACUAAACAUAGUAUAUGUUGGAACUUCACUCGAUACAUAGAACUAGACCGUUGGGUUGCUAGUAGCUCUUACCAUGUUAGAGACAUGAUGAUCGGACACUUGAGCUAUUGACUACGCUUGCUUGCCAUUUGUGCUCGUUCGCAUAUGCUUGUGAGGGUCGCUCCCUACAAGCCGGCAUUCCGGAGUUGGCCUACGCGACUUAUACUCGCUCGUGCAGUAUCGAGAAGCCUACGGGGUCGGGAGGGAUAGACUUAUUCCUAGAGUGGGAAUGCUGGAGCUACCACCGGCACUUAGGCGGCACAAGCUGAACUACACAUGUGUAGGUCCUAAAUGAGAUUAAACCAGAAUAUUAAACAACAGGUUGAUAAUCGCUACUAGACAGGUUAUAUUAGUUGGAUUCGUGACAUGUUAUGACAUAGGAUUGGACAGUUGGAUAUAUAGCACACUUGACAGUUUCGUAUAUUGCAUUGUAGUGUACUCAGUUGCCAUGAUAGUACAUCCUAGAUAUGUAUUGGACCCUAGGGCAGAUAGCAUACUUCAUAGUAUUACUUGUUGCAUCGUAGCGUAUUUGUUUAUGUAUCGGCAUACUGGAUCAUGUAGAGUAGAUGUACUCCAUAUUGACGUUCUGAAUUCUUGGCAUAGUAGAGUAGUAUUUAUUAUAUGCUUCAUUUACCGCAGUUUAUUCUUGUUAUCCUUAUCUGCUCUUUCUCUCUUGGGCCUGGUGGUGCAGUUGGUGCAGGUCAGUAAUUGCCCACUGGGAACUAUAAAUUAUAGUUCUCAUGCCCCCUGUUUUAUGUUUUCUUUCAGAGCCUUUCACUCUGAGAGAGGCUCGGGAUCGCGGGAAGGUUUCACCUCGAGUUAGCUAUCGAGGGACUUGGUGAUAGGUGGUUCACCUCUCUUUUGUUUUCUUUUGGAGAGGUUGUGAGAGUUUUGUACCUGGUUAUAGAGAACCCCCUGUUUUUGUAUCUUGAGAUUUAUGAUGUAUUAAUUUACUUUAUGCUUUAGUGGUUCAGUUCUCUUUUGACUCUACUUGUCAAUAGAACCUAGCUGUAUAUUUGCUCUGAUAUCUCUAAACACUUUCAACUUCUUGUUCAUUUAUUCGUUUUUGUUGUAGACACCUUAUAUGUGCAGGCAUAUGGCGGGUCUGGGUACGCACUGGGCAGGCCUACGCCGAGUCCCGGGGUGUGACAACUAAAGUCCCUUAUGUCUCAAUUAGGUAUAGGUUUAAAUGCAUGAAGCAAUGCUCAAUUUCAUUGUAAGAAACAUGGUCCCGAGUCCAACAUAAGAAUGCCCAAUGCUAGUGCAAGCUUCACAUGCAACUCUCUCUCUCUACUAUAUAGAGGUCCGAAAAUUCAUUAUACAUGACAUAGGGAUGUUAAGUAUUCUAAAAUUCACAAUAAAUACAUUUAACAUGAAAAUGCAUGAAUUUUCACUUUACGAAACAUAAAUCACCAAAUAUGAAAAUUUUUCAUAUUGUAGGCUAGGUCAAACCCACUGAAACUUGCGCAACCUUUCGUAUGCUCCGACGAAGGUGCCCACUAGCCUCCUAGCACCCUAGAGGUAUAGAAACAAAGGUUAAACGAACCUUACGAACAACUACAAGAUCAAACAUUAACCAUCUAUACAAAGGGGCUAAAAUAUCACCUAUAGUGGAGAAAUUCCUUUCCAAAGCUCAAAAAGAAGCUAAAUGUCACGCCCCGGGACCCAACGGAAGCCCGCCGGCACGUGCCCAGACCCGCCAUACGUCUAAAACAUAUAAGAUGUCUAAAAUAAAACGAUAAAUAAAGCAAGAUAAAGAGAACAUCUAGCAGUAUCAGAGCAAGUAUAUCUAGAUGCUACAAUAAUCGAAAUGAACAUAGAGCUAAAUCUACUAGGUAGAAACAAGAAGUAGUACAAUAAACAUCCAAAAUACAAAUGCUAAACCAGAUACAUAGGUGGUAUCUCUAUACAAGGUACUAACAUAACUCUCUCUCACUCAACUACAACAAAAGGAGAGUGAACUACCAAAACGCAAAAAGGACGCUUCUCGCUAGCUAGCUAAGCGAUCCCCUUACCGCGGUCCCGUGCCUCCACCGGUGUAGAGAGCUGUCACGCCCCAGGACCGGCAGAGGCCCUCCCGGUAGCGUGCCCAGACCCGCCAUAUGUCAACACAUAUGAGGCGUCUAAAACAACAGCGAAAAAUAAAACCAAAGAUAGUCUACAUCUAGAGAUAUUAGAGCACAGAUAGAUCUAUCAUCUACAACAAUGUAAAUGAAAAAUACUAAACAAUAAAUGUGAAUCAUGAAGUUAUACAAUAUCAUCUCCAAAAUAGUACACAAAAGGGGUGGUCUCUAGUACGCUAGUACAGCUCUGAACCUCUCCAAAAUAAAUACAUCGAGAGGUAGACCACCUAGCAACUCGUCACUCACUGAAGAGCUAGCUCGAAGCAACGCCCUUCCCACGGUCUCUAGCCUCUCCCGGCGUGGAAGGCUCUGAAAGAAAACAUAAAACAGAGGGCGUGAGAACUAUAAUUUAUAGUUUCCAGUGGGCAAUUACUGACCUCAGCUCAAUGCACCACUAGGCCCCAAAAGAAAAAGGGUAAGCCAAAAAGAGCAAUAGUAAUGAAUAAAUUGCAUUUAUGAAAGUAUAAUUAAAAUUCUAAGAUACUACAUUGCAAUUAAACAUGGUGUUAAAAUGAUGCACCUUUACUUUGUCAUAAACAAUGUCUCUACAUGGCCACAAGUAAAUAUCGCGGUUUACUUUAUGAAGUUAUGAAGAUCAUGCUUUAUCAUGGCAGCAAUGUACAUAUGAAUGCAAUAAGCAACAUCUCCUAGUAUACUACAUGCAUGUAUGUAUACUCAAAUGUCCAACACUAUAAUAGAAGUAAGUCCAAGUAAUCCAACUACUACUCUCUAUCUAGUAGUGAUUAUAACACACUCAACACCGUGUUGAUUUCCAUUUCCAAUUAAGGACCUACUCAAGGUAGUCCAGCUUGUGCCGCCUAAGUGCCUGUGGUAGCCCAACAUUCUUGCUCUUGGAUUGUGUCUGUCCUACUUGACCCCGUAGGCUUCUCAAUACCGCACGAGCGAACAUAAGUCGCGUAGGCUAACUCCAGAGUGCCGGCUUGUAGGGAGCGACCCUCACAAGCAUGUGCGAAUGAGCACAAAUGGCAAGCAAGCGUAGUCAAGGCUCAAGUAUUCAACCCUCAUGUCUCAAACCGGCCUAAGGUUUGCUAGGUCUACUAAGGCAAAACCCUAGGCUCUGAUACCAAACUAAUCUGUCACGCUCCGGGACCGGCAGAGGCCCUCCAAGUAGCGUGCCCAGACCCGCCAUAUGUCAACACAUAUAAGGCNAGUCAAGGCUCAAGUAUUCAACCCUCAUGUCUCAAACCGGCCUAAGGUUUGCUAGGUCUACUAAGGCAAAACCCUAGGCUCUGAUACCAAACUAAUCUGUCACGCUCCGGGACCGGCAGAGGCCCUCCAAGUAGCGUGCCCAGACCCGCCAUAUGUCAACACAUAUAAGGCGUCUAAAACAACAGCGAAAAAUAAAACCAAAGAUAGUCUACAUCUAGACAUAUCAGAGCACAGAUAGAUCUAUCAUCUACAAUAAGGUAAAUGGAAAAUACUAAACAAUAAAUGUGAAUCAUGAAGUUAUACAAUAUCAUCUCCAAAAUAGUACACAAAAGGGGUGGUCUCUAGUACACUGGUACAGCUCUCAACCUCUCCAAAAUAAAUACAUCGAGAGGUAGACCACCUAGCAACUCGUCACUCACUGAAGAUCUAGCUCAAAGCAAUGCCCUACCCACGGUCCCUAGCCUCUCCCGGCGUGGAAGGCUCUGAAAGAAAACAUAAAACAGAGAGUGUGAGAACUAUAAUUUAUAGUUCCCAGUGGGCAAUUACUGACCUCAGCUCAAUGCACCACUAGGCCCGAAAAGAGAAGGGUAAGCCAAAAAGAGCAAUAGGAAUGAAUAAAUUGCAUUUAUGAAAGCAUAAUUAAAAUGCUAAGAUACUACAUUACAAUUAAACACGGUGUUAAAAUGAUGCACCUUUACUUUGUCAUAAACAAUGUCUCUACAUGGCCACAAGUAAAUGUCACGGUUUACUUUAUGAAGUUAUGAAGAUCAUGCUUUAUCAUGGCAACAAUGUACAUAUGAAUGCAAUAAGCAACAUCUCCUAGCAUACUACAUGCAUGUAUGUAUACUCAAAUGUCCAACACAAUGCUAGAAGUAAGUCCAAGUAAUCCAACUACUACUCUCUAUCUAGUAGCGAUUAUAACACACUCAACACCGUGUUGAUUUCCAUUUCCAAUUAAGAACCUACUCAAGGUAGUCCAGCUUGUGCCGCCUAAGUGCCUGUGGUAGCCCAACAUUCCUGCUCUUGGAAUGUGUCUGUCCCACUCGACCCCGUAGGCUUCUCAAUACCGCACGAGCGAAUAUAAGUCGCGUAGGCUAACUCCGGAGUGUCGGCUUGUAGGGAGUGACCCUCACAAGCAUGUGCGAAUGAGCACAAAUGGCAAGCAAGCGUAGUCAAGGCUCAAGUAUCCAACUCUCAUGUCUCAAACAUGGCAAAAGCUACUAGUAACCCAACGAUCUAGCUCUAUGUCACAAUGUGAUAUCCCAACACUCACCUGCUUAGUGCCUCUUUAUGACACGUAAGCAUCACAACUAAUCAAGCCCAAUUCAUAUGCUAUGUUCUAAUUAAGACAUUAAUACCAAUGUUCACUGUAGCCCGAGUCCAAUGCCUUUUUAUGACAUUGGCCCAAAUUCUCAAAUAGUCUAAGUCCCUAAGCCUCUCUAGGCUUUCAAAGUCUCUAAUGUCACAAUUGGGAAUACAGGUUAAAUGCAUGAAAGUAAUAUUCAUUUUCAUAAUAGGAAUCAUGGUUCCAAGUCUCAACUAGAACGCUAUGUCUCACAUGCAUGCACCCUAUCACAUAGAGGUUCAAAAAUUUACUAUACAUAACAUAUGCAUGUUAAGCAUUCUAAAAUUCAUAAUAAAUAUUGUUAAGGAUUUUAUAGGUUGGCGAAUUUCGUAAAGUUGUUUGGAGUCUUGAAGAGUUGAUCACAGAAGUUUUUGAGAAAAGAUUCAAAUUGGAGGACGAAGACUCAUUCGGAAAGAUCGACACCUAAGGUAUGAAGAAAAGAUCAUUUGUGGUGAAGAUACAUAAUUAGAAUAAGUUCAGAAGGCUUAGAUUGCUUUAAAAUAAUUUUUCUGAACUUUUAUGUGUUCUGGGACCGGUCUCUGAGAUUGAGAGACCGGUUCCCCCAAGGUCCUCACUGCGUAAACUGUGAUGCAACCGGUCCCCUGUGAUGAGAGACCGGUUCCCGAACCAUGGUGCUUCUGUCGCGCAGCGAGGGACCGGUCUCGAGUUUGAGAGACCGGUUCCCGAACGUUGGGUUUUUGGUUACGCAGAGAGGGACCGGUUCCUCACUUGAGAGACCGGUCUCUCACAGACCGGUCUCCUCGAGAGGACCGGUCUCUGAGGACGACACAGGUUUUUGAAAACGACUUUUUGCAAUCCUAGUCUACUUCUAAGUCUUCUAAACAUAUAAAUAAGCUAUGUGGGUCAUCUAAAAUUAAGGCUUUGAAUAUUUUAUCAAUUCUAAACCCUAGAAACUUAAUUCUCUUCGUUUUGAUGCUUAGAUGAGUUUCUAGCAAUCGACAUCGGCUUGAUUCUUCGGUGUUACUCAAUAAUUCUUACGAGAAUCAAGUAGAUGUUUGAUAAAAGGUGAACUCCCAUAGCUUAUGGUUUUCAAACGUUAAAUCACCACAAAUCUUCAAUUCUACAUGCUCCGGAAGGAGGUUCGGCGCGUGGAUCGCGUGUGAAGCCGAGGAUUCGGUGGACGCUUCGAGGAGUUGAGGCGUUGACGCUGCGAGGAGUUGCAGCAAGGUCGAUUGGUGGAUUCCUAUCGAUCGAGGACCGGCAAAGAUUACCAUCAACAAGAAAUCGGUAAAUUGAGUCGUGUGUUUUUGUCGAAAUCACUUGUACUCAAGUUUUCUUAGUGCAUUUUCUUUGCGUGAUCGGUCCCGUGGGUUUUUCACUCCGAAUUGGAGUUUUCCCACGUUAAAUUCUCGGUGUGCUGUUUUAAUUUUCGCUAUUUCGUUUUGUUUGCAUCGAGAUUUAUCGAGUUUGCCAGAUUUACACCUAUUCACCCCCCUCUAGGUGUUACUUACCUUUUAGAUCCUCGGGAUCCAUAUCUCACAAAUAUAUCAAACGUGAAUAUGCAUGCUUUUCCAUUUAACGAUACUCAAAUCAUCACAAAUGAGAUUUUCUCAUUGUGUGGCUACGUCAAACCCACCAAACCGUCGCGUAGUCCUUCGUUUCGCCAAACGGAGUUGUCCACGAGUCUCAAAAUACCCUAAAAGUAAUGAGCGAAGAGAUACACGGGCAUUACGAUCUACUAUAAGAUUAAACAUUAACCCUCAAGACAAAAGGGCUAAAAACUCACCUAAUGUGUAGAAAAUCUCUCUCAAGCUCCAAAAGAGAGCUAAAUCCCUUCCAAUCCAACCAAAUGGAAGGUUCUAAUCCAAUUAAUCAAGCUCCAAAAGCCCUAGAUUCAAAAUGCCCAAAAUAAACCCUAAGUCUCCAUUCUAGGGUUCCAUUAAAAAAUUUUAGCAAAACAAGGAUCAAAAGGAGAAAACAAGUUUCUAACCUCUCAAGAAGCUCCCAACUAGGCUCCAAAUCAAAUAGGGUUGAAGUUCUCCUCUCCAACAAGCCUCUAACAAAGCUCCAAGUCCUCUCCAAUGGUGGAAAAAGCCUCCAUAAUGCAAAAGUAGCAAAAAUGAGGCAUAAAAGCUUCAAAAAAUCAAACAAAAUGGAAGGGAAAGGAUGUAGGGCUCCCUUACCUUGAUCUCCUCCUUCCUCAGCUCAGGGAAGGCUCAAGAGGGCGUGGGUGCUAUAUAGAAUAGCCACAAUUGCGAAAAACCCCAUGCAGUUUAAACUGCUCAAAAAUUGCCACUGCAUACCGGUACACGGGCCCACGUACCGGUACACAUCCCACGAACUAGCCCAACCCGAGUCUCGGGUUGGCUAAGAUGCAGCCAAUGUUGACGGCUGUACAGGUACAGCCAUCACCCCGUACCGGUACACAGCCCUUUGAAGGCUACCCGAAAGCUAACCAAAAAUCCGAUUUUUCGGGUUUUGGUGCUAGGCUUCAAAUCUCAAUCCUCGGGAUACGAGCCAUAGGUCGGAACACUGUCUACGACUCACCAGAAAGUCUGGAAAAACUCAGGACACCGUUCAAAUACUCGAACCUCGCAAUUUGCAAAGGUCCAGUGUGUUACAAGGGCUCUGAAAUAAAACCAUAGAAACGAGGGCGUGAGAACUAUUAAAAAUAGUUCCUAGUGGGUAAUUAUUGACUUCAGUGAAAUACCCCACUAGGCCCAAAACUAAACAAAAGAGAGUAAGUAUGAGUAUAAACAAAAGCUAAAUAAAGAACAAGUAUAUAACCAUGAGUACUACUCUAUCAUGAUAUCUCUACUUAGCAAGAAUUGCAUAAGUAAUAAAACAACUACAACAAGUAUGUUCAUGAGUGUGACUAACAUGUAUAAGCAUGUAUAUGCAAUCAACAGAAUGUCCAUGAUGUAGAUAGUAAAAUGUCAUUGUUUACUAUUCUAUUCAAAGUCCAACUGGCAUAGUAUGUCACUAAGUUCCAAUCAUAGAAGACCCACUCGUAGGCUGUCUGGCCUGCGCCGUGCCUAAUGGCCCCGCGGUAGUCAACAUCCCCACUCUAGGAAUGAGCCUCCCCAUAGCAUCCUAUUUUGGCGCCCAAUCCCGCACGAGCGAGCAUAUGUCGCAAUGGCUAUCUCCGGAGUGCCGGCUUGUAGGGAGCGACCCUCACAAGUAUGUGCGAAUGAGCACAAUGGCAAGCAAGCGAAAGAUCUGUCUCAAGUACCAAGUCCUCAUGUGUAACACACCGGACCUUUGCAAAUUGCGAGGUUCGAGUGUUUGGAUGUAUUUCGAGUUGUUCCUGUUAGAUGUAUGCCCUAGAAGCCAACCAGGCCGACACAUAUAUUCUUUCUAGGACAUAAAUUUGUAUUUGACUUUUAAAUAUUAUGAAUAACUUUGGGUUUUUAUUUUUAUUCAUGUUAUGUAUGUGUCCAUGAAUCGUCCAAGGAAUUAAUAAGAUGAUGACAGAUAUUCUCAAGAGUUGAGAAUUUGAGACAUGUGUCAUUGGUGGUUAAUUCCUAAAUACUCCCGAUCAAUGGAUCAUCACGGGGACGGUGAUUGAUCCAGUGAGAUUGGUGCAUAGGUCGCUUCCCUUUUGGGUAGACGAGUCUCGAGUCGACAGUGUAGGGACACUGAAGCGAAUAUGCAGGUGGUUGUUAGAGAACAAGGGUACCGAGCGUGACCAACGCGAGAAGUCACUUGGAUGUCUACUCACUCAUCAGUGACUUACUCAAUUGUUGCAGUAGUGUGACUGGUCCUUUGACCUGCGGUGCCUCGGCUAUUCAUAAUGAGAUUACUGUAGUUUGACUGUACAUACACUUGGUCCCUAGCCAUUCGGGUCCUUGCGGUGCAUGUUGGCUACAGUAGGUUCAUUGUAGGAAUAGGGUGAGCACUUAGAUGGAAUCUAUCUCCCUAGAUAGAUAGGGGUGUUAGUUCCAUGUGAUUUAUGAGACCGAGUUUAGAAGACUUUGGCCAGUGCAGAGUUAAUAGCGAAAAAGGCUUUCCGAUAUUAGAAACUCGAGUCAAAUAAAUUUAACAUAUGACAGAUGAUGGGGUUUGACGAGUUAUUCCAUAACCUCCGUCUAGUCGGGACUCAUGAUAGAAUGAUUGUAUCACACGGUAACUGCAUCAAGAGGUUCAGUAUUCCAUUCUACUGGAAUGCCACUACAUGCUGCUAGGCGUCACUGGUGGAUUGUAAGACUCGUGAGAAUUGUCUAGAUGAUCGAUAAUUUUCAUUGUGCUGAGUUGGAAAUGUUCCGAUCCACUGAAAGGAGUUUCAGUGAUAUUGUUGAUAGUGAUCAAAAUAUAUUUCACUGCCAGAUAGAAUAGAAUCUAUGGGGUCACACACAUAAGAGGUUGUGAUUGAUCGGAUAGCUAGAUCGCGAUUAUUGAAUCGCCGGAGGACCUAAUUGUCAAUAUAUUGAUAAUUGGACUAAUUUGUAAUUGUUACAAAUUAGUGCGUUUAAUAUGUAAAAUUUACAGAGAGGACUUACUAAUAGUUAGUAAAUUAUAGAGGACUUAUGUGCAAAUAUUGUAUUAUUAAUUUGAUAAGAUCAAAAUUAAUAUAAAUUCAAGUCGAAUCAAAUUAGGAUUUGAUCGAUCUAACAAUUAAGGAAAAGAUAAAUAUUUAAAUCUAAAUUUAUACUUAUCCUUAAUUGUCAUUAUAUUUUUAGGAAUAGGAAUUUAUCCUAUAUAUAAUAUACGGAGUGUUUUAGAAAACCGAAGCCGUCAUCUAUCUCUUUCUCUCUUCAUCUUCUAGCAAGAAAGACGUUCUUUUUGCAAGGGAGCUAGCACCCUGUGAGGACAUCGAUCAAAUCAAGAACCUCGUGUGGAUACCUAUAGAGGUCGGACGCGUGUGCGGCUUCAAGAGACCCAGAUUCUACGAUCAUCAAAUUGAGUUGAAGAUCUGAUCAACGAAAAAGGUAAAGAUUCGAUCUUGUUUUUCUUCUUUAAUCUUAAAACAUGGGGAUCCUAAUUGCCGUGGUUUUUGAGAUUGGAUCUCGAGAGUUUUUAAAAUCAAAUUUGUUUGAUUUCUUUUUCCGCCUGCAUUUUUUACCAGUACGCAAUUUUCUAUCAGUUCCACACUUGGUGGAGGGUCUGUAGAAUGUUUUCGACCUAAAAAGUUCGAUGAAAAUUAGAAUUCUGGACAAGUCCUGAGAGUUUUUCUCUCGGGCGACCGUCCUGGAAGAGAGAACGGUCCCCCAGUGAGCAGUGUUGCGGCAGCCCUGAGGCAACGGUCCUGGGGGCGAGACCGGUCCCGAGCGCGCCUUCAGCAGAGAGACCGUCCACGGGGGAGAGACCGGUUCCGAACGAUGGUUUUUUCGGGUUCACAGCGAGAGACGCGUCCCUGCUGAGGAGAGACCGGUCCUCUGGGCGAAAGUGCCCAGACCGGGCUGUGCAAUAUGAUUUGAGGGGCCUCUCCGGAUUUUGUUACACUAGAUGGCUUAUUAGCCAUUUCCCCCUCUUCCCUCUUCUAUUUUCUCAUUCUCACCAUUCCUACACCUUUUUAGAGAGAGAAGAAGAAGAGGAAGGAGGAUGGAAGAGAAGAGGAGCUAGCUUGAGGGAGCUUGGAGCUCAACCCCUUUCUUCUUUCCACACUUUGCAAGGCUUGGAGCUUGCUUGUAAGGCUUGGUUGUGGACCAAUCUUCAACCCUAGAAGAUUGGAGCUUGUUUUGAGGCAUCUAAAGAGGUUAGUACUUUGAUUCUCCUUGAUUCUUUGUUUUGGUAGAUUUUACCUCUUGGAACCCUAGGAGUGAGAUUUAGGGUUGAUUUUGGGGCUUUUUGAUCUAGCGACUUUUGAGGCUAGAUUUGUUGGGUUUAACCUUCAUUGGGCUUGGAUGGAAGGCGUUCCAGCUCUCUUUUAGAGCUUUGAAGAGAUUUCAUCUCUUGAGGUGAGUUUUAACCCUUUUGCUAUAUUUGUUAAAGUUUGAUUUAUAGUUGAUCGUAAUGCUCUGUGUAUCUCUUCGCUGAAUUACUUUUAAGGUGUUGUGAGACUCGUGGACAACUCGUUCGGCAAUCGAAGGAGCACGCCGACGGUUCGGUGGGAUUGACCUAGCCUAUGAUAUGAGAAAUGCUCAUAUUUGGGCAAUAUGUUUGUAAAUAGAAAUUCAUGCAUUUCCAUGUUACAUGUAUUUUAAUAAGAAUUUUAGAAUGCUUAACAUGCAUAUAUUAUGUAUAGUAAAUUUUAGACCCCUAUGUGGUAGAGUGCAUGCAUGUGAGACUAUUCUAGUUAGGUUUGGGGGAUCAUGAUUCCUAUUAUGGAAAUGAACCUUGCUUUCAUGCAUUAACCUAUAUGCAAUGGUGACAUUUAGAAAUUUUUAGAGGCCUAGAGAAGGCUUGAGAACAUGGACUAUUUGAGAUUGGGCCAAUGUCAUAAAGAGGCAUGGGGGCCCGGGGAAAGUGAACCUAGUUAAUUGGAAUAUGGGACAUGAAUUGGGCAUGAUUAGUCGUGAUGCUUAAGUGUCAUAAAGAGGCACUAAGCGAGAGUGUGCGUUGGAGCGUCACCUUGAGACUUUGGACUAGACCCUUGGGGAUGCUAGUGGCCUUGCCAUAUGAGAGGCAUGAGAGUAGAGUACUUGAGACUUUGACUUGCUUGCUUGCAUUUGUGCUCAUUCGCACAUGCUUGUGAGGGUCGCUCCCCACAAGCCGGCAUCCGGAGUUAGCCUACGCGACUUAUGUUCGCUCGUACGGUAUUGAGAAGCCUACGGGGUCGAGUGGGACAGACACAUUCCAAGAGUAGGGAUGUUGGGCUACCACAGGCACUUAGGCGGCACAAGCUGAACUACCUUUGGUAGGUCCUUAAUUGGAAAUGGAAAUCGAUACGGUGUCGAGAAUGGUUAAUCACUACUAGAUAGGUUUAGUAGUUGAAUUACAUUUAUAUGCUCUUAGCAUAGUGUUGAGACAUGUAGUAUAUUUGAUAGUCUCCUUUUUGCAUUAAAGCAUACUUGGGUGCCAUGACAGAACUUGCAUAAUGUAUUCAUGAAGGUUAAUGACAUACUAUUUUGAUAUCGUAGAUGUACAUCACCAUGACAUCGUUUAUACUUGAGUUUAGUAAGUUAGCAUUUUAAUUAUGCCUUUAUAUCGCAGUCAUUAUUGCUAUCGUUAUUGUACUUACCCUUUUCCCUUUUCUUUUGGGGCCUAGUGGUGCAUAGAGCUGAGGUCAGUAAUUGCCCACUGGGAACUAUAAAUUAUAGUUCUCACGCCCUCUUUUUCUCGAUAUUUUUCAGAGCCUUCCACGCAGGGAAAGGCCAGGGAUCGCGGAAAGGAUAUCGCCUCGGGCUAGCGUGCUUACCGAGGGAUCGUUCGAUAGGUGGUCUACCUCUCAGGUUUUCUUUUUGUGAGAGGUUGAGAGUUGUACCCGUAUAUGUAUAGAGACCACCAUUUUCUUUUGUACUAGAGACAGUUAUUGUACUACUUAUGAUUUCUUUUAUUGUCUGGCUUUACUUUGGGUGUAGAUGUUAGAACUUUACUCGCUCUGAUAUCGUUAGUUGCUAGUUAUUUCACUUUUUCUAUUUGUUCUAUUACUUGCUUCUACUUCCGCUUUUAUUCUAGACGCCUUAUAUAUGUAGACAUAUGGUGGGUCUGGGCACGCUACCGGGAGGGCCUCCGCCGGUCCCGGGGCGUGACAUCAUGUCUAAAAACAUGGAAUAUAUGUCACAUAUCUCAAUGGCCUAUCUCUAUGUCAUCAUGUCUACAACAUGGAAAAUAAAAGAUGUCCAAGGCCUAUUACUAUGUCCCAUUUUGUAGUUUCAUAGGUUUCAACGCCAAGUGUCCCUUUAUGACACUUUUGGUCUUUAUGUCCAAGCAUGAUAAUUAUGAUAAUGAAUGCAUAUUUCUAAUUAUUUUCAUCGUACGAGACAAGUACCCAACUCGCAAAACAACCACUUCUCACAUGCACACUAAAAGCCCCUAAUACCCUACUACAUAGAGUGAAAAUUUCAUGAUACAUAAGGCAUGCAUUUUAAAGGUUCUAAAAUUCGCAUAAAUUCUGUUUAAUAGGAAUAUGCAAUCAAAUUGACAUUACGACAAGUAUAGAAUACAUAGAGGCCAUUUUGCCCCGCUUUCAUGAAGCCAAACCCACCGGUCUCCUCGAAACCCUUCGUUUGCUCCAACGAAGGUGCCCCCUAGCCUCCUAGUAUCCUAGAAGCAUCAAAAAAUGAGGCCAAAGAAGGAAAUGAACAUCAAUGCGGUCAAAACAUUAACCGACUCAACAACUCACCGAAUGCGAAGGGUGCUCUUUCGAUCUCCAAAUGGGAGUAAGAGCCCUUCCAAUCCAACCUACACGAAGGUUCUAAACCCAUCAAUUGGGUCCUAAUGCCCACAAAUCACAAAUCCCCAAAUUCCAACCCUAAUAUCCAAAUCUAGGGUUUCAUCUAGUUCAAAGCUUAAAUACUAGAAUCUAGGGGAGGAAAACUAGCUACUCACCUCUAGGAUGCUUCAAUCAAAGCUCAAAGUCCACAAGCUCCCAAGAUCUUUCCUCAAACAGGCCUCAAGUCCAAGCUAAAAGGAGAUCAAAUCCAAAGAGAGGAAGAGAGAGGCUCCCCUACCUAUUCUCUGCUAGUGCAAGGCUCAAAGAGAGCCUUAAGGGGCGUGGGUACACAUAUAGUGUUGCUACAAUAGCAAAAACACCCCUGUAAUUCAAGCAGUCUGCGGACUGCACUGCGUACUGGUACACGGGGUCGCGUACCGGUACACAUCCCACGAAAAUGCCAAACCCGAGCCUCGGGUUGGCUGAGAAGCUGCCUGUGUAUCGAUACACGACCCCACGUAACGAUACAACCAUCACCGCGUACCGGUACAGCCAUCAACCCUGUACCAGUACACAGCCUACUGAAGGCUACCCGAGAGCACACCAAUAAUCAAACAUUUUAGGUUUUGGUGCCAAGUUUUAAACCUCAAUUCUCGGGACUCGAACCAUAGGUUGGAACACUGUCAACGACCCUCCACAAAGUGUGGAACAGCUCGGAACACAAAUAAAACACUUAAACCUCGCAAUUUGCAAAGGUCCAGUGUGUUGCAUUCACCCCUCCUAAAAAGGAGUUUCGUCCGCGAAACUCAAAAUCAAACUACAUACCUCAAGACUCCAUCUGAAAGAGAUGGGAAUAGCGCUCCUGCAGCGCGCUCUCUAGCUCCCACGUGGCCUCCCGCUCCUCGUGGUUGCUCCAAAGGACCUUUACAUACGGAAUGUCCUGAUUCCGUAGUUUCUUCACCUCGCGAGCCAAGAUCUUCACUGGUUGCUCCUCGAAGCUCAAAUCGUCCCGCAACUCCAAGGGUAAAGCAUCCAACACAUGAGUCGGGUCGAAGACGUACUUCCGAAGGACCGAUACAUGAAAGACGUUGUGCACGCCCGAUAGGUUCGGCGGUAGAGCAAGCCGAUACGCUACCGGACCUACACGUUCCAAAAUCUCAUACGGUCCAAUGAAACGGGGGCUCAACUUACCCCGAACCCCAAAUCUCUUGAUUCCUCUUGUCGGCGAGACCUUCAAGAACACAUGGUCUCCAACUUGGAACUCCAAGUCUCGCCAUCGCUAGUCGGCGUAGCUCCUCUGUCUACUCUGUGCAGACAACAGUCGCUCCCGAACAAUUCGAACCUUGUCCUCAGCUUCCUGGAGCACGUCAGGGCCUAAAGCCAAUCUCUCGCCUACUUCACUCCAAUGAAGUGGCGAUCUACACUUCUGUCCAUAAAGUGCUUCAAAUGGCGCCAUCUUGAUGCUUGCUUGAUAACUGUUGUUAUAAGCAAACUUUGCAAUAGGUGAUGAUGCGACCAUACUCCCUGGAAGUCUAUCACACAAGCUCGGAGCAUAUCCUCUAAGGUCUGAAUGGUGCGCUCCGACUGCCCAUCACUCUGAGGGUGGAAAGUAGUGCUGAAGUCCAAACGAGUGCCCAGGGCGUCCUGCAGACUCCUCCAAAAGUGAGACACAAACCGAGUGUGUCGAUCCGAUACUAUCGAUGUAGGCACUCCAUGAAGUCGCACAAUCUCAUCAAGGUACACUUGUGCGAGCUUCUCUCCGGUCUAAGUAGUACGAAUAGGUAUGAAGUGCGCCGACUUCGUUAACCUAUCCAUGAUUACCCAUAUAGCAUCAUGCCCGGCCUGAGAGCGGGGCAAUCCAGUCAUGAAAUUUAUGGUGAUCUUCUCCCACUUCCACACAGGAUUAGGCAAACUAUGAAGUUUUCCCGCAGGUAAUCGAUGCUCAGCCUUUACUUGUUGGCAAGUUAGACAAUGAGCUACAAACUCGCCAACGUUCUUUUUCAUCCCGGGCCACCAAUAAAGCAACUUCAAGUCCUUGUACAUCUUGGUGCCUCCCGGAUAUAUAGCAUAGGGCGCUCGAUGUGCUUCUUGCAGAAUAUCCUCUUUAAUUCCCGAAUCCGCCGGUACACAAAUCCGCCCGCGGAAACGCAACAAUCCUUGGUCAUCCACAAGGUAGUCGGCGGUGCAACCAUUAACCAUUUUACCUCUAUUCCUUUGCAACUCCGUAUCGGAGGCUUGCUUCUCUUUGAUUCUAUCCAAGAGUGUAGGUUGCACUACCAAGGUCAUCAAUCUCAAAGGUGUGUCCGGAGUCACUACCUCAAACUCCAACCUCUUCAUCUGCUCGAUCAACUGCGGUUGAGUCACAACAUGCAUCGCUAAGUUUUCUGUCGAUUUCCUACUUAGCGCAUCCGCCACCACGUUAGCCUUGCCCGGGUGGUAGAGGAUCGUCAAAUCAUAAUCUUUGAGUAGCUCCAACCAUCUGCGCUGUCUCAAGUUCAACUCUUUCUGAGUGAAUAAGUACUUCAAACUCUUGUGAUCCAUGUACACUUCACACCGCUCACCAUAAAGAUAGUGGUGCCAUAACUUCAAUGCGAAGACUACGGCCACCAACUCCAAAUCAUGCGUCGGGUAGUUCUUUUCAUAUUCCUUUAGUUAGCGCGAAGCAUACGUGAUCACUUUGCCAUCCUGCAUCAACACACAACCCAAUCCAUUAAGUGAAGCAUCACUGUAAACCACAUACCCUACUCUAGCCAUCGGCAGGGUUAGGAUCGGGGCGGUCGUCAAUUUUUGCUUCAACUCUUGGAAGCUUUUCUCGCAUGCAUCAUUCCAAAUGAACUUGACUCCUUUAUGCGUGAGCCUCGUGAGGGGAGUAGACAGCUUGGCGAACCCCUCAACAAAUCUUCGGUAGUACUCGGCAAAUCCAAGGAAGCUUCGUAUCUCUGUGACGCUCGUGAGUCUCAUCCAAUCCUUGAUUGCUUCAAUCUUCUUAGGAUCCACAGCUAUACCCGAUCCUGAAAUCAAAUGUCCAAAAAAAGCUACCUCUCGAAGCCAAAAUUCACACUUUUUCAACUUGGCAUAGAGCUCCUUUUUCCGAAGUACUUGAAGUAUAAGCCUCAAAUGCUCCUCGUGAUCUGCAUCACUUCGGGAAUAAACCAAAAUGUCAUCUAUGAACACCACGACGAACCUGUCGAGAUAAGGCCUAAAAACACGGUUCAUUAGAUCCAUAAAGGCUGCUAGGGCAUUAGUAAGCCGGAACGGCAUAACAGUGAACUCGUAAUGUCCAUACCGUGUUCUAAAAGCCGUCUUCGAUACAUCCUCGGGUUUGAUCUUUAACUGGUGGUAUCCCGACUGCAAAUUGAUUUUGGAAUACACACACGAUCCCUGAAGCUGAUCAAACAAGUCGUCGAUCCUCGGCAACGGAUACUUAUUUUUGAUCGUGACUUUAUUAAGUUCACGAUAGUCCACGCAUAGGCGAAGUAAUCCGUCCUUUUUAUUGACGAACAAAACUAGUGCUCCCCAAGGUGAGACGCUCGGUCGAAUGAAGCCUUUAUCCAGAAAAUCCUGCAGCUGUGCCCUCAGCUCCUUAAGCUCCGCCAGUGCCAUCCUAUAGGGCUCUUUCAAGAUUGGAGUAGUUUCAGGGACGAGAUCUACCACAAACUCGAUCUCCCUAUCGGGUGGCAUACCCUAUAGCUCAACUAGAAACACGUCACAAAACUCCCGCACCACCGGGAUGUCCUCAAUCCUAGGGGCGUCGUCCCCGCCCCUCAGCACGACGCUAGCCAAAUAGGCUACGCAACCUAUGCUGAUCAGCUGCCUAGCUCGAGACGAGCUGAUCGUCAUCGCAAAAAGCAAACUCUAGCAUCCUCUAAACACAAUUUCAGUCUGUCCCGGUUCUCUAAAAGUAACCGUACGAUUCAUGCAAUUGAUCGUGGCAUAAUACUUGGUUAACCAAUCCAUGCCUGAGACCACAUCAAAUUCCCCCAGCUUGCGCAAGGCUAGUAAGUCCACGGGCAUAAUCCAAUCUCCUACCCGAACAGGGCAACUAAGGCAAUACUCUCUAAUAUUCAAAGAGUGGUCGGGGACAACUACACGUCCCGAAUGCAACAAAGAAAGCAUAGGAAUGCCAUGCAACUCGACAAAUAGCUGAUUUAUGAAUGAAUGCGAUGCACCGGUACCAAUAAUGCACGAACUCUAAUGCCAUCAAGUAAAAUGAUACCUGCGACCACAUCCUCGGCUGCUGCCGCCUCCUCGGUCUGAGCGGCAUACAUACGCCCACUCGGGGCCUGUCGAGAACCCUCGCUCUGGCGCUGGACGGGUGGCCGCCCAGGCUGGUACUGCGCUGAUGGAGUCCCGUGGCUGGCGGCUGGUAGAGCCGGUGCCGAUGCAGAUGACGGUGCCGGUGACGAACCCCUCGAGCACUCGGUCCGGAAGUGGCCCUCCUGGCCACACUGAAAACACCUCCCUCCCUGUUGCGGGCAUUGCGGAUGAAUGUAGGGACCACCACAGAUCACGCACUGGGGAGUUCGGCGUCGGUCAGGACCUCCAUGAUGAGUCACCGAGCCACGCCCACGCUGCUGGCUCCUAGGAUGCUUCGGCGGCCUCCUAGAGUGCAUCUGGCUCGCAUCCUCAGCCGCAGGCCUCUUGGCCUUACCCUUGUCCAUAGCCUCUCGCCGCUCCUGGACAUCUGCCGCGCCGCUCUCCAGGAUGAGCGCGCGAUCCACCACCUCCCGGUAGGUUUGGAGGUUAGAGGAUUGCACAAACCGGAAGAUCGAUGGUCGCAACCCUCGCUCAAUGAUGUGGGCCUUGUCCUCGUCGUCCCGCACGACGAAAGGCACGCAGUGUAGAAGCCGAGAAAACUCCCGCUCGUACUCGGCUACGUCCUGUCUCCCUGGCGCAAGUUGCGCAAGUUCUGCUCCAUCUUCCUCUUGACGCUGAUCGGAAAGUAAUGUGCCGAAAGAAGCUCCUUGAACCUCUUCCAAGUAAUAGCUGCCAAGUCAGUGCUGGGGUGCUCCUGGAGAUCCAACCACCAGCGAUAGGCCUCGCCGUCCAGGUGGUGUGUGGCGAGCCAAACCCGAUCCCUCUCCUCCACGAAGGUGUCGCGAAAGAGCUUCUCCAUAUACAUCAACUGUAAUAUACCAGAUUUUGGUAUAAAAAUAAUAAUAAAUAAAAAUAGUGUGAGAAACUAUUUUUAUUAGAUUUAUAGAGGUAAAACAUAAGUCAGAAGUGACUUGUGCUGAAAUCGGAAUUAAAACAGAAGAUUUAAAAUUUUCUGUUGGAAACGGGACAGAUAAAUUAGCGGAAAAUGCACAGUCUCAGAAAAUUAUGAAAAUUGGCAGAGAUGUCAGAAAUAUUUUUAUGAGGCUAGAUUUAAAGUUUCAUAUUUUUCUAACACCCGGAAGGUGGGAAAUAAAAUCUCACAGUUAUCUGUUAAAGAUUACAGUUCGGUACAGUUUUCGGUAACCGAACGGGGUCGAAACUGAACCAGUGAUCGUCAGCUUGUUAAGUUAAGUAAAACCGAGCAUGACUGUCAAGUUUGAGCUCAAACG